GAUUUCUGGUUGGAUGUGUUUAGCCCGCCAUGGUUUCAUGUGUGAGUGCUGAUACUCAUCUACCUUCCUUCUAGAUAGUCAAUUCUUCUCUUCAUUGAGGGGAAUUUGGCACUAGAUCUUUUACUUUGAAAAAAUUAGAGUGUUUCAAGCAGGCGUUUGCUUUGAAUACAUUAGCAUGGAAUAAUAAGUUAGGACUUCGGUUCUAUUUUGUUGGUUUCUAGAGCUGAAGUAAUGAUUGAUAGGGAUAGUUGGGGGUGCUAGUAUUCAGUGGCCAGAGGUGAAAUUCUCGGAUUCCCUGAAGACUAACUUAUGCGAAAGCAUU
This 322-nucleotide ribosomal RNA is filed under the name uncultured Glissomonadida. RNAcentral's name for it is "bacterial SSU rRNA". It matches the Rfam family "Eukaryotic small subunit ribosomal RNA", at positions 633 to 955 of the family's 1831-position model. The record is from RNAcentral. Lineage: Eukaryota; Cercozoa; Glissomonadida.